CAGUAGCCGCGGUAAUACGUAGGGUGCAAGCGUUAAUCGGAAUUACUGGGCGUAAAGCGUGCGCAGGCGGUUAUAUAAGACAGAUGUGAAAUCCCCGGGCUCAACCUGGGAACUGCAUUUGUGACUGUAUAGCUAGAGUACGGCAGAGGGGGAUGGAAUUCCGCGUGUAGCAGUGAAAUGCGUAGAUAUGCGGAGGAACACCGAUGGCGAAGGCAAUCCCCUGGGCCUGUACUGACGCUCAUGCACGAAAGCGUGGGGAGCAAACAGGAUUAGAUACCCCCGUAGUCCCUGUCUCUUAUAC
Molecule: ribosomal RNA, 301 nt
Filed under: uncultured bacterium
Lineage: Bacteria
Description: partial 16S ribosomal RNA
Rfam family: Bacterial small subunit ribosomal RNA
Source: RNAcentral